Molecule: unclassified non-coding RNA, 378 nt
Filed under: plant metagenome
Description: partial contains 5.8S ribosomal RNA, internal transcribed spacer 2, and large subunit ribosomal RNA
Rfam family: 5.8S ribosomal RNA (bases 1-105)
Source: RNAcentral
GAAAUGCGAUAAGUAAUGUGAAUUGCAGAAUUCAGUGAAUCAUCGAAUCUUUGAACGCACCUUGCGCUCCUUGGUAUUCCUUGGAGCAUGCCUGUUUGAGUAUCAUGAAAUCUUCAAAGUAAAUCUUUUGUUAACUCAAUUGGUUUCUACUUUGGUAUUGGAGGUCUUUGCAACUUCACACCUGCUCCUCUUUGUUCAUUAGCUGGAUCUCAGUGUUAUGCUUGGUUCCACUCGGCGUGAUAAGUUAUCUAUCGCUGAGGACACUGUAAAAGGUGGCCAAGGUAAAUGCAGAUGAACCGCUUCUAAUAGUCCAUUGACUUGGACAAUACUUUUAUGAUCUGAUCUCAAAUCAGGUAGGACUACCCGCUGAACUUAAGC